CGUGCCCCCCUCCCCAUGCUAAAACUGCCCGCUCUCCUCCUUCGCAGCUCCGGCACAGACAUCAUCCGAGACCGAGACGAUGCGAUCCGGGGUGGAAAGCUUUCGGCGAGGCCGCCGCACGCCUCGGACCGACGACACCUCCGCUUGGCGAGACGACCGGCACGCCCGAAGGGAGCCGCGCGUGUCGCCUGAGCCACUUUAGCGUGGGGAGGGGGACAUGACGACCUUUGAAGCCGACGCCCGUCAUCACAGCUUGCCCGACGCCGUGCGGACGGAGCGACAAUCCCCCCGAAAACCAACAAGUCCAGGACCCGAUGAUGGACGACUCGGUUGUUUUCCCUCCGUUUGGCCUGGCGGGUAAGGGGACGCUCCGACGUCGUCGCCUCGAAAAUGGCGUCACUCUCAACAAGGAGGCGCGAUGGCAAUUCAGUGGUCGCGGGACGGCGAAUUAGCAUUGGCGCCGACACGGAAAACUGCACAAGAAAAGCCAGGACCAUCAGGUACGCGCACUCUCGUCGUCGGCGACCCCAAAUCGCGCGCCAUUAGCGAGCGGCAAAGAGCCGACUCUCGGCUCGUUCGCUUUGCAGAUUUGCCCGAACGGACGCGUUCGUACAAACGGGCCCACUUGGAUUUCGUGCUCGGCUUUGUUGAAGACGACGUCGGACCAAGGCUACGUCGCCAUUUUAAAUGCCCGUAGGCAGAUUUGGACAGCGAACUCUUUGUCGGGUCGUGACGUCUUCUUCCUCCGAGGCAUGUCGUGAAAUGCGCCCGCGUUUCUUUGCGUGCCCACGGCCCAAUGGGAUGCUUCUAUUGUCCAGGCGGCAAUCCCAUACACGGGCCAGCCUGAUGCCGGCGUUGUUCUCUCAUAGCUGGCCGUCCGCUUCUUGCCCCCUUCCUUCCUUCUCCCCUUUCACACUUCCUCGUACCGCCCCCCCCCACUUUACUCCCCGACCCCAUUUCGACCGAUUUGAUUAGUUUGACGACACAAAGUGUUUUUUUAACGGCGCUACGAUGGAGCAGCUGGCCGUUAGCUUUCAUGUGGAGUCUUCGCUGAGAGCAGAUGGCGGCCGUGCGUGCGCGACAGGCGCGAUCCGUCUCCCGCCUGUUGCGCCCGAGCCUUUUUCAAGGAUAUCUACCUUAUGUCGUGAUGUCACAAGCGGCAUUAUUUAACAGGCAGCUGGGAGGGCCACUCAUCAUUUCAUUAAAAGGCGUCUGAAAAAGGAGCUCGGGCGCCGAUGACAUUAGCUUCAAUUAUUCACGAGCGCGCCGCCGCUGCAGACGCGCUCGUAGCGCAGAGACGACUCGCUCUUCCGUCAUUUGCUCAAAGGCAAAGUGGCCUCGGCGCGGGCUCCAAAUACCGCCGCCGCGCGGACAGAAACGCGAUUCCCCCGGCAGCCGAGCGGCAGAGGAAGUUCUCGGCCGCUCUGGUUCCUCCGUAAGCCAUUUGUCGCGAUAACAAGACAAUGUGCUCCUUUUUUUUUUUUUUUGAGUCUCGGAUUGGCCAGCUUGAACGGAAGGUGAAGCCGGAAACUGGAACGACGAUCCGGCAGCACGUGGCCCAAGUCUUGAAAAGUUUUGUAGCAAUCAAUAAAGAAAGAUGGCAACCUCGGAGACGCUCUCCACUCGGAUGACCUCGCGAGCGAGCGUAUGCGUAAAACAGAGAGCCAAACACCUUGACGCACUGAGCAGACGGCGGAGUGCAAAUAUCAUGCGGUUUCCUGUCUGGUUGGUUUUCUCUCGAAAGAAAGCCCGCGGCGCUUUCCUCUCGAUGGAUUCUCCAGUCCGUUUGGCGCCUCAUUCGCAGACUUUCUGCUCGGACGGUCGACGCUGACCCGCUGACCUCGCGCCUCCGCGACGCCCCGACCGCCUUUGUAAACUCACCAGCGCCAAGCUAAUUAUCAUGUUGCACUUUUUUUUUUGGGUUGGGGGGGGUGGGGGCGGCAGGAUUUCGCUGUGACGCUGCGCUCUCCCAUCGAGCGCCUGCACUCCUUGUCGUCGGGCAGAUUAAGAAAAGUAUAUUCCCAAAAAUAAAAAGGCAAUGGCGCUGACGAAUUGUGGCGAGCGGG
Long non-coding RNA from Hippocampus zosterae (dwarf seahorse), 2066 nucleotides. RefSeq lists it as uncharacterized. The transcript is spliced from 3 exons. The record is from RefSeq and is a predicted model, not a curated record. NCBI's taxonomy places the organism in Eukaryota, Metazoa, Chordata, Actinopteri, Syngnathiformes, Syngnathidae.